Molecule: ribosomal RNA, 253 nt
Filed under: uncultured bacterium
Lineage: Bacteria
Description: partial 16S ribosomal RNA
Rfam family: Bacterial small subunit ribosomal RNA
Source: RNAcentral
UACGAAGGGUGCAAACGUUGCUCGGAAUUAUUGGGCGUAAAGCGCACGUAGGCGGCUUGGCAAGUCGGAUGUGAAAUCCCUCGGCUCAACCAAGGAAGUGCAUCCGAAACUGCCGAGCUUGAGUACUUAAGAGGAUCGCGGAAUUCCCGGUGUAGAGGUGAAAUUCGUAGAUAUCAGGAAGAACACCCGUGGCGAAGGCGGUUCUCUGGGACGGUACUGACGCUGAGACGCGAAAGCGUGGGGAGCGAACAGG